AAAAAGGAGGUUAGGAAGGCUAGAAGGAGGUUAGGAAGGAUAGAAGGAGGUUAGGAAGGAUAGAAGGAUGAUAAAGAGGAGGUUAGGAAGGAUAGAAGGAGGUUAGGAAGGAUAGAAGGAGGUUAGGAAGGACAGAAGGAGGUUAGGAAGGAUGAAGAGGAGGUUAGGAAGGAUAGAAGGAGGUUAGGAAGGACAGAAGGAGGUUAGGAAGGAUGAAGAGGAGGAUAGAAGGAGGUUAGGAA
This is a long non-coding RNA of Scomber scombrus (Atlantic mackerel), 242 nucleotides long. RefSeq lists it as uncharacterized. The record is from RefSeq and is a predicted model, not a curated record. The transcript has 5 exons. NCBI's taxonomy places the organism in Eukaryota, Metazoa, Chordata, Actinopteri, Scombriformes, Scombridae.